Molecule: ribosomal RNA, 517 nt
Filed under: uncultured bacterium
Lineage: Bacteria
Description: bacterial SSU rRNA
Rfam family: Bacterial small subunit ribosomal RNA
Source: RNAcentral
CUGGCUCAGAUUGAACGCUGGCGGCGUGCUUAACACAUGCAAGUCGAACGCGAAAGGGGACUUCGGGUCCUGAGUAAAGUGGCGCACGGGUGAGUAACGCGUGGAUAAUCUGCCCUUAUGAUCGGGAUAACAGUGGAAACGGCUGCUAAUACCGGAUACGCUCAAAAUGAACUUUUUGAGGAAAGAUGGCCUCUGCUUGCAUGCUAUCACGUAAGGAUGAGUCCGCGUCCCAUUAGCUUGUUGGCGGGGUAACGGCCCACCAAGGCAACGAUGGGUAGCCGAUUUGAGAGGAUGAUCGGCCACACUGGAACUGAAACACGGUCCAGACUCCUACGGGAGGCAGCAGUGGGGAAUAUUGCGCAAUGGGCGAAAGCCUGACGCAGCGACGCCGCGUGAGGGAUGAAGGUUUUCGGAUCGUAAACCUCUGUCAGAAGGGAAGAAACUACGUUGUGCUAAUCAGCAGCGUACUGACGGUACCUUCAAAGGAAGCACCGGCUAACUCCGUGCCAGCAGCCGC